UCACGAAUUUUUUUGCAAUCUAAAUAAUUAAAAAGAGUGAUGGUUUGAUGAAGAGAUACAACACUUGAGCCAAAUUAUUACAAAUACAACAAUUCAAUCAGAUUCAAACUUAACAAAAGCUUAUGCUUAUAACAAAAGAAGACUUUUAGCUCAAAAACGCAAGCACAAACGGAGAUUUGUGGCAUUGAUUUUGAUAAGGUUUUAGUGAAGCUUAAUGAAUUCUCUACAACUCUCUUACACAACUCUUCUAAUUGAGCAUUCAUAAAAGAAAC
This 272-nucleotide long non-coding RNA is filed under the name Brassica napus (rape). RNAcentral describes it as "long non-coding RNA (BNAP_LNC004985)". The record is from RNAcentral. Lineage: Eukaryota; Viridiplantae; Streptophyta; Magnoliopsida; Brassicales; Brassicaceae.